Molecule: non-coding RNA, 97 nt
Filed under: Gossypium hirsutum (cotton)
Lineage: Eukaryota; Viridiplantae; Streptophyta; Magnoliopsida; Malvales; Malvaceae
Description: Bacterial small subunit ribosomal RNA
Rfam family: Bacterial small subunit ribosomal RNA
Source: Rfam by way of RNAcentral
AAUAGACGGGACAAAAGGUCACGAUCCCGCGAGGGUGAGCUAACUCCAAAAACUCGUCCUCAAUUUGGAUUGCAGGCUGCAACUCCCCUGUAUGAAG